This is a long non-coding RNA of Eriocheir sinensis (Chinese mitten crab), 2768 nucleotides long. RefSeq lists it as uncharacterized. Lineage: Eukaryota; Metazoa; Arthropoda; Malacostraca; Decapoda; Varunidae. The record is from RefSeq and is a predicted model, not a curated record. The transcript is spliced from 3 exons.
AGUUUCUGACAUAUCUAUAGCAAAACAAACAAACAAACAUCAAUAAAUAACAGUUUCAACGCUAACUUAAAUAUUCUUUCGUUAUUUGUGUAGGUACGAGAGUUUGAGGCUAAAAAAUAAUGAAUACAAGGUGGUGAAUACGAUAAUCUAGCAACGCUGGGUGUAGGUAGCGUAUGAGAGGAAGGGAUAGGUGGAUGGAGUGUGUGGAAGAGCAGAGGGGAGGAAUGGACCAGCGGGAGACAACACCAGAUAGGCCUCGACAAUUUGGUUACACUGUACGGAUGUCCCUCAAAUAGUACAGUUUCCAAUACGUAGUUCAGUUUAUGGUUUUACGUCGAUUUUCUGAGAUUUUUUAGGGUUUUUGAAUUUCCCGACGAGCAUGAAAUGUAAAAAUCCUAAAUUAUCUUCUAUGACAGUCUGUAUAUAACUGAAACCGAGCUAUUGGAAAAUGUACGAUUUGAGGGAUGACUGUAUUAAAUAUUCAAGUUUUCGUGGGGCUCUCUAAGGGUAGGAUAGGUUACUCGUAUAGGCUACAUUUCGCUGCUGCGGGCGAUACGUAGCUAUUUUUCCGUCAAUUUGGUGUCACUGUACGGAUGUCCCUCAAAUAGUACAGUUUCCAAUACGUAGUUCAGUUUAUGGUUUUACGUCGAUUUUCUGAGAUUUUUUAGGAUUUUUGAAUUUCCCGACGAGCAUGAAAUGUAUAAAUCCUAAAAUAUCUUCUAUGACAGUCUGUAUAUAACUGAAACCGCGCUAUUGGAAAAUGUACGAUUUGAGGGGUGACUGUAUUAAAUAUUCAAGUUUUCGUGGGGCUCUCUAAGGGUAGGAUAGGUUACUCGUAUCAGCUACAUUUCGCUGCUGCGGGCAAUACGUAACUAUUUUUCCGUCAAUUUGGUUUCACUGUACGGACCUCCCUCAAAUAGUACAGUUUCCAAUAGUUCAGUUUAUGGUUUUACGUCGAUUUUCUGAGAUUUUUUAGGGUUUUUGAAUUUCCCGACAAGCAUGAAAUGUAAAAAUCCUAAAUUAUCUUCUAUGACAGUCUGUAUAUAACUGAAACCGAGCAAUUGGAAAACGUACGAUUUGAGGGAUGACUGUAUUAAAUAUUCAAGUUUUCGUGGGGCUCUCUAAGGGUAGGAUAGGUUACUCGUAUCGGCUACAUUUCGCUGCUGCGGGCGAUACAUAGCUAUUUUUUCGUCAUCAGGUUGCGGUUUUUUUUUUAACAUCAAAGGACGCGGCUUACGGGCAACAAAAAGUACAAAAAAAAAAGGUCCGCUACUCGACACUCCCACAAAAUUCAAAAGUAGCCAAACGCGAGGUCAAUUUUGAGUGGAAAGGCGUCUUGAUACACUAUUCUUGAAGGAGGUCGAGUCAUAGGCAGGAGGCUAGGUUAGGUUAGGUUAGGUUAGUAUUUUAUUAUUGACAUGUAACUAUUUUAGGCUAGGAUUAUAUAGGAUUUUACGAGUUGAUAAUUUGCUAUUUCUAAUGUUCCUACGGCACUGUUAGGUUAGUCGAAGUUACAAUUAUAUCGUCAAUACGUAACUGUCCCAAUUCGCUGUUUACGUAAGGUUCUGUUAGGUUAGUUUAGGUUUUUAGGGAAUUUUAGAUGAUAAGUUAAUAUUUCUUACGUUCCUAUGACAUUGUUAGCUCAGACGAAGUUACAAUUAUAUCAUCAAUACCUAACUGUCCAAAUUCGCUGUUUACGUAAGGUUCUGUUAGGUUAGUUUAGGUUUUUAGGGAAUUUUAGAUGAUAAGUUACUAUUUCUUACAUACCUAUGACAUUGUUAGCUCAGACGAAGUUACAAUUACAUCGUCAAUACGUAACUGUCCAAUUCACUGUUUUCGUAAGGUUCUGUUAGGUUAGUUUAGGUUUGUAGGGAAUUUUAGAUGAUAAGUUACUAUUUCUUACGUUCCUAUGACAUUGUUAGCUCAGACGAAGUUACAAUUACAUCGUCAAUACGUAACAGUCCUAUCUGUUGUUUACGUAAGGUUCUGUUAGGUUAGUUUAGGUUUUUAGGGAAUUUUAGAUGAUAAGUUAAUAUUUCUUACGUUCCUAUGACAUUGUUAGCUCAGACGAAGUUACAAUUACAUCGUCAAUACGUAACUGUCCCAAUUCGCUGUUUUCGUAAGGUUCUGUUAGGUUAGUUUAGGUUUUUAGGGAAUUUUAGAUGAUAAGUUACUAUUUCUUACAUUCCUAUGACAGUGUUAGCUCAGACGAAGUUACAAUUAUGUCGUCAAUACGUAACUGUCCCAAUUCGCUGUUUACGUAAGGUUCUGUUAGGUUAGUUUAGGUUUUAAGGGAAUUUUAGAUGAUAAGUUAAUAUUUCUUACAUUCCUAUGACAUUGUUAGCUCAGACGAAGUUACAAUUACAUCGUCAAUACGUAACUGUCCCAAUUCGCUGUUUACGUAAGGUUCUGUUAGGUUAGUUUAGGUUUUUAGGGAAUUUUAAAUGAUGGUUUAUGAUUUCUCAAGUUCGUGUGGCAUUCAAAAUUUCAUCUUUAUUUUUUCAGCGACAGGUUACUAUUGUUAGGUUAGGUUAGGUUAGGUUAGGUUAGGUUACUAUUUCAUUAUUGACAUGUAACUAUUUUAGGCUAGGAUUAUAUAGGAUUUUACGAGUAGACAAUUUGCUAUUUCUAAUGUUCCUACGGCACUGUUGGGUUAGUCGAUGUUACAAUUAUAUCGUCAAUACGUAACUGUCCCAAUUCGCUGUUUACGUAAGGUUCUGUUAGGUUAGUUUAGGUUUUUAGGGAAUUUUAGAUGAUAAGUUACUAUU